This is a non-coding RNA of Drosophila ananassae, 176 nucleotides long. The record is from RefSeq and is a predicted model, not a curated record. Lineage: Eukaryota; Metazoa; Arthropoda; Insecta; Diptera; Drosophilidae.
UUGACGUGCAAGUAACGUUUCCAAGUCAAAUCCCCAUGCUGGAAAUGCUUCAUGGCACGUGAGAACAAAGAUGAGCUCCCGGCUUACUACCAAUAUUGCGAUAAUGGGAGCUGCAAUGAGAAUGUUCGUAGCGAUUUUGGAGUUUGAAUCGAUACUGCUGAUAGUUGCAUACAUUU